GUUAGGAAUAUUGGACAAUGGGCGAAAGCCUGAUCCAGCCAUGCCGCGUGAACGAUGAAGGCCUUCGGGUUGUAAAGUUCUUUAGCCGAUGAUUAUAAUGACUGUAGUCGGAAAAUAAGCCCCGGCUAACUUCGUGCCAGCAGCCGCGGUAAUACGAAGGGGGCGAGCGUUAUUCGGAAUCACUGGGCGUAAAGCGUGCGUAGGCGGUUUUGUAAGUUAGGAGUGAAAGCCCAGGGCUCAACCUUGGAAUUGCUCUUAAAACUGCAAGGCUCGAAUCUCGGAGAGGAUAGCGGAAUUUCCAGUGUAGCAGUGAAAUGCGUAGAUAUUGGAAGGAACACCAGUGGCGUAAGCGGCUAUCUGGACGAAUAUUGACGCUGAGGCACGAAAGCGUGGGGAUCAAACAGGAUUAGAAACCCUUGUAGUCC
RNAcentral lists this ribosomal RNA (425 nucleotides) under uncultured bacterium. Its description in RNAcentral is "partial 16S ribosomal RNA". It matches the Rfam family "Bacterial small subunit ribosomal RNA", at positions 354 to 796 of the family's 1533-position model. The record is from RNAcentral.